Babesia microti strain RI is the source of this 72-nucleotide transfer RNA. It matches the Rfam family "tRNA". Rfam says of the family: Transfer RNA (tRNA) molecules are approximately 80 nucleotides in length. Their secondary structure includes four short double-helical elements and three loops (D, anti-codon, and T loops). NCBI's taxonomy places the organism in Eukaryota, Apicomplexa, Aconoidasida, Piroplasmida, Babesiidae. The record is from Rfam.
GCGUUAGUAGUCCAACGGUUAGGAUUCCUGCCUUCCAAGCAGGUGACCCGGGUUCGACUCCCGGCUAACGCA